Long non-coding RNA from Cercocebus atys (sooty mangabey), 750 nucleotides. RefSeq lists it as uncharacterized. The record is from RefSeq and is a predicted model, not a curated record. NCBI's taxonomy places the organism in Eukaryota, Metazoa, Chordata, Mammalia, Primates, Cercopithecidae. The transcript has 2 exons.
UGGAGGGCGGGGAAGCUGUGAGAACCCGCUGGAAAAGCCGCGGGUUCUCGGCUACGUGGCGCCGCUGCUGGCCUGGCGCCGUCAGGCUGCUGGGGGCGUCCCCCUCUGGCCCACCCAGGGACGAGUGACUCGAUGCUCCAGGGUGCUGUUAUUGCGAGCAAGGGCACCGGCCCUCCGGCCCGAAGCAGGGCAGGGACACGAGGGAGAACGCGCCCUGUCCCUCCCACCUCCUCCGGACUCGGCCCCUGGAGGGGCUGACGCUGGAAGACCCGACAUCGUCGCUUCUGAUGUUCAUGGCUUUUGACUCAUGUUCAGGUUUGAAAUCUCUUACCCAGUUUAAGAACGGGAUGAACUCUCCUCGUUUAAAGGAGAGAAUGAAGAACCCUGAACGCAAAUCUCCAUCCUUGUCCCCAUUAAUCUGAGGCGGCAGGAAGAAUGUGGAGGCAAACCUGGCUCUUCUCAGUACUGUUCCAGCCACCCACCGCUCUGCCAUUCAGGAACUCUGCGCGGGUGCCAGGUGCCACGCACGGUGCUGCCCCCGCACUCCCCGCAAGCUGUGCGAACUGUAGGAAGGAGAGGCUGCUGGGGUGGAGAGCAGUAGGGAGAGACCCAUGUUCGGGGUCAGACGAGAGCAGCUUCAUGAAGUUCUGGGGGAGGCGAAGCAUUAUGACCAGAUGGAAAUGAAAGGAAACGGGAGACUCUGUAUUAAUAAACUAGCAGCUUUAUUGCCCUUUAGGGGCCAUGUCUUCA